UACGAAGGGGGCUAGCGUUGCUCGGAAUCACUGGGCGUAAAGGGCGCGUAGGCGGGUCUUUAAGUCAGGGGUGAAAUCCUGGAGCUCAACUCCAGAACUGCCUUUGAUACUGAGGAUCUUGAGUUCGGGAGAGGUGAGUGGAACUGCGAGUGUAGAGGUGAAAUUCGUAGAUAUUCGCAAGAACACCAGUGGCGAAGGCGGCUCACUGGCCCGAUACUGACGCUGAGGCGCGAAAGCGUGGGGAGCAAACAGG
This 253-nucleotide ribosomal RNA is filed under the name uncultured bacterium. Its description in RNAcentral is "partial 16S ribosomal RNA". It matches the Rfam family "Bacterial small subunit ribosomal RNA", at positions 524 to 776 of the family's 1533-position model. The record is from RNAcentral.